AGGAGCUUGCUCCUUUGACGUUAGCGGCGGACGGGUGAGUAACACGUGGAUAACCUACCUAUAAGACUGGGAUAACUUCGGGAAACCGGAGCUAAUACCGGAUAAGAUUUUGAACCGCAUGGUUCAAUAGUGAAAGACGGCCUUGCUGUCACUUAUAGAUGGAUCCGCGCCGUAUUAGCUAGUUGGUAAGGUAACGGCUUACCAAGGCAACGAUACGUAGCCGACCUGAGAGGGUGAUCGGCCACACUGGAACUGAGACACGGUCCAGACUCCUACGGGAGGCAGCAGUAGGGAAUCUUCCGCAAUGGGCGAAAGCCUGACGGAGCAACGCCGCGUGAGUGAUGAAGGUCUUCGGAUCGUAAAACUCUGUUAUCAGGGAAGAACAAACGUGUAAGUAACUGUGCACGUCUUGACGGUACCUGAUCAGAAAGCCACGGCUAACUACGUGCCAGCAGCCGCGGUAAUACGUAGGUGGCAAGCGUUAUCCGGAAUUAUUGGGCGUAAAGCGCGCGUAGGCGGUUUUUUAAGUCUGAUGUGAAAGCCCACGGCUCAACCGUGGAGGGUCAUUGGAAACUGGAAAACUUGAGUGCAGAAGAGGAAAGUGGAAUUCCAUGUGUAGCGGUGAAAUGCGCAGAGAUAUGGAGGAACACCAGUGGCGAAGGCGACUUUCUGGUCUGUAACUGACGCUGAUGUGCGAAAGCGUGGGGAUCAAACAGGAUUAGAUACCCUGGUAGUCCACGCCGUAAACGAUGAGUGCUAAGUGUUAGGGGGGUUUCCGCCCCUUAGUGCUGCAGCUAACGCAUUAAGCACUCCGCCCUGGGGAGUAACGACCGCAAAGGUGAAACUCAAAGGAUUUGCGGGGACCCGC
Molecule: ribosomal RNA, 868 nt
Filed under: Staphylococcus pasteuri
Lineage: Bacteria; Bacillati; Bacillota; Bacilli; Caryophanales; Staphylococcaceae
Description: bacterial SSU rRNA
Rfam family: Bacterial small subunit ribosomal RNA
Source: RNAcentral